Molecule: ribosomal RNA, 253 nt
Filed under: uncultured bacterium
Lineage: Bacteria
Description: partial 16S ribosomal RNA
Rfam family: Bacterial small subunit ribosomal RNA
Source: RNAcentral
UCCGGAGGGUGCGAGCGUUGUCCGGAAUCACUGGGCGUAAAGGGCGCGUAGGCGGCUCGGUAAGUAGGAGGUGAAAUCCUGCGGCUUAACCGCAGGGCUGCCUUCUAAACUGCCGGGCUUGAGCACAGUAGAGGCAGGUGGAAUUCCCGGUGUAGCGGUGGAAUGCGUAGAGAUCGGGAAGAACAUCGGUGGCGAAGGCGGCCUGCUGGGCUGUUGCUGACGCUGAGGAGCGAAAGCGUGGGGAGCGAACAGG